AGAGGUUUGUGAGAACUCAAAGGUCUCGGAGUUUUCGGGGGCACUGGAAGGCAGAAAUUGUUUCUGAGCGGCUGUGAAAGAACAAAGAAACAUUUGGAAUACGAAAAACUAUGGAAGCAAGCAGUUGCUAUUCGUUCGCCAUACGUCUGAUGAAGGUGAACAUGGAAAGACCCAACCUUGCGGAAUACAGCUACCUUCAGGAUGAUCUCCUGGUACAAGUCAAUCAAAAGAACAUGGCAGUGUACAGAUACACUGGAUGAGUUCCUCCAUCAAUAAUGAGCACAGUGGAUAGAGGUGAACAGAUGGACGUUAUUUAUUUGGAUUUCCAGAAGGCAUUCAAAAAGGUCAACUGUUUGACUGAAAUAGAAUCACAAGUACAAUAUCGCAGACAGAAUUUUGCUUUCUGUCGAUACAUCAGAACCAAAUGAAUAGAAAUUCACCAACUUUGCUCCCCAUCCAUCAACCAGAUCUCUUCAGAACAUGCGGCUGAGGAAGAAUCAGAUCUUUUACAAUCUGAGAAUGACCCAAGAAAUACAAACUGUUGCAGCUCACAGAAAGAAGGAAACUCCAGAGAGGACCAAGCUUCAACCAUGUGGAAUGAUUUUUUCAAGAAUAAUGAAACAUACAUCAUCUACUCUGUUUAUAUGAAAAUACGUGGAGCUUUACUGUAGAAUCAAUUCCAAAAACAGUGAAUGAUUUAAUCUCUCUUAUUACUGUCCAUAUCAUAAUCAGGUUAUUGGAUUAGUAGUAAAAGAAAUUGUACAUUAUAAACAAACUGAUCACAUUGUGGAUUAUUCUGAAAAUUGAUGCCUAAAAUAGAUUGUAUUUUCAACAAUUAUAGUAGCUUGUGAAUGUCUAAAAUUAUUAAUAUCACAGAUGAUAAAGUCAUGGAUCUAAUAGGAAAAGACUUCAUUUUCUACAAUAGUUGUGCGUCCAACUAUCAUAACAUAACCCUUAUUUGUGAACUAUGCAGCAAUGUUACUGAUUACUAGGAUGCACAGGGACAUGUCAUCAGAUGUAACAUGGGGCAUUGGGUUUUUCAGACUUUCAACUGCAGACACUCUUGCCUAGGCGAUCUAGCCAGAGUCGAUCAGACCCUCAACUUUUGUCCCAGAAGUAUUGGUCAACAACACGUGGCCAUCUGGAAGCUCGCUCAGCAGCCUAAUUAAGGUCUUCCACAGAAUUUACAUUACCAAAAUCAAGAUAUAAUUACUUGGGAGGAUUAUGACUUGAUUAAGCAUCUUUAGUUGACAGGGCAAUGCUGCUGAUAAAAAUGGAUAAAAAACAACUCCAUACUUUCAAAAACAUACCAGUAAUGGAUAAUGAUGUGCAGUUAUUGCUGAGCUUCAUCAGCAGUAAUUCAGUAUGCAUGAAAUAGUCUCAUAUUUUGUUUUGAAUGGGAGAACAUUUAGCCUAUUUAGAUAAUGCUCGUUCUUGGAGCAAAUUCAUCAACCGCAUUCUCUGACUUAUUUCUUUGGUACCCCAUUUUCUCUCAUGUGCCCAGCAAUUCUGCCUGAUUUUGCUACUGACAUUGAUUGAUCACAGGUCAAAAAUGGUAUCAAUACAUAUACAGUAUAGAAGGGCGGCAUGGUAGUGUAGUGGUUAGCACAACGCUUUACAGUACAGGCAACCUGAGUUCAAUUCCCUACGCUGCCCGUCAAGAAUUUUUAUGUUCUCCCCAUACGUCCAAAUACGUAUGGGCUGGCAGGAUAAAUGUCCUGUGGUUAAACUAGGAUUAGAACAGGGGAUUACUAGAUGGCAUGGCUUGAAGGCUCAGGAGGACGAAUUCCUUGCUGUAUUUCAAUAAAUAAAUAUACACACGCACAGAAAAGUAAUUGAGAUAUAAAAUACUGUUUUCAUUCAUAGAAGAUUUUGAAAUAUGCCCGAAUAAAUUACAUUCUGUGCUUCAUGUCAUAACUAAAUUUAUGUUUAUAAAGGUAAAUCACCCCUUUCAAUAUCAUAUGCAGAAUCAACAAAGCAUGUAUUCCGUACAUUUGCAUUUCUACGCACAUACAAGAAUGCAGAUUACAAUCAAGAUUCACAAGUUAUUCUACUUUAUAUUGUCUCCUGCUACAUGGCUUUUCUUGGCAGUGGGGUAUUUGCCUGCUCCCAUGCUUCUCAAUAUUUAUAAUUUCAUUCAAUUUACUUAGCCAUUAUUUUCAUCCUUUCUAGGCAAUUAUUCUGCCUUCAGCUGUUCUCCUGAGUUACUGGACUGUGUAAUAAAUACAGCACUGCAUGGUAUUAAUACCAAUUUUGUCCCACAUUCAAAAGCAUAGAAUACAAAAGCCAAUACUCAUCUGCAAAUGUGAACAAUUAUUUUUCAAUACCAAUAACUUUGGAAGCUACUGAUAAAUUAGGGACAUCACCACAAGCUCAAAUUCAAUUCAAGCCAUGUAUUACAAAAAUGAUCAAUGUAUUGAGCUAAAUGAUAAA
Long non-coding RNA from Hypanus sabinus (Atlantic stingray), 2433 nucleotides. RefSeq lists it as uncharacterized. Lineage: Eukaryota; Metazoa; Chordata; Chondrichthyes; Myliobatiformes; Dasyatidae. The transcript is spliced from 5 exons. The record is from RefSeq and is a predicted model, not a curated record.